Non-coding RNA from Misgurnus anguillicaudatus (oriental weatherfish), 2786 nucleotides. NCBI's taxonomy places the organism in Eukaryota, Metazoa, Chordata, Actinopteri, Cypriniformes, Cobitidae. The record is from RefSeq and is a predicted model, not a curated record.
CACCUAUGAUUCUCAGCGUGUGUGCAGGGCUCUGACUGCGCAGGGGAAUACAAAUUGGACAGUCGUGUUAUGGCAAUAAUAACAGGAAUGAAGAUGUCAGGAUUCAGGAUGAUUGCAUGCAUUUCGAUUUAAAAGGGCAGCAGGUUCUAAUGUAACCUGAGUUUGUGUUCAGGGAGAUGCUGGGUUCAUCCGAUCUCCUCUCACAAUGACACAACUUCUCAGUGCUCCCCUGCUCAAGUGUCCCACUUUAUCAUGAAGAGUCUGUGUCGGUGUCGAGCUAAAUGAAAACUAUAAUGUAGAUGUCUACAGAAAACCAGCAUUUCAGGCUAAUCAGACAAGAUGGAUUUUAUAACUCAAUUAGACAAAUCUGAGAUGAACUGUAUAUAUCUGAGAGCGUUUAAGAUGAAUGUAUGAGGCAAACCAUGGAAAAUCAAGAGGGGUUGGAGUCUACCCCAGGUGUAGAUGUCGGUACGGAUGUAAAUGGAGAACCGAACAGGAACAGCACACAUAUAGAUUCACAGGGGGCAGUAAAACAGAGAAUAGAGGUAGUCUCUGUAACAGAGGAAGAUAUUCCUGCUAUCGAUACCCAAAACACGAUCAACAUUAGUCCUCUGGACAGUCAAAGUGCCAGUACACCAAACAGCAGCACUGUCAAACCAGCAUCAGUAGACAGCAAAGACUCUCAAAACAAUGCUUCUACCCAGCCCAGCUCUUCAAUGCCAGUUACCAAAGUCCAACCCCUUGUUACAGAUGAAGAGAAAACAUUACGUGGGAGUCUGUUUGCACGCCGGUUUGAGAUACUUAUUGGGGCUUGUGUCCUGCUCGUCGCUAUCUUUGUGUUGGGCAUUGGAUUGGGAGUUGGCUUGAAUUGUGUGGGGAAGUUUCGAUGUGGUUCGUCUGGAUGUAUUAGCAUGUCUGCUCAGUGUAAUGGGAAUGUAGACUGUGAGCAUGGUGAAGAUGAGCUCAGUUGUGUGCGUUUGAGUGGUAAGAGCUCUGUACUUCAGGUACUCAAUGAUGGAGUUUGGAGGACUGUUUGUGCUGACGGCUGGACUGAUGACCUGUCACUCUCUGCUUGCAGACAGCUUGGUUACUCAAGAUAUGUGGAGUCAAAUCCGCUUCCUCUAUCUUCUAUUGAACGGGACUUGCAAAGUAACCUGGUGUCAAUAAGUCUGAACAAAACAAGUUCCAAACAACCCAUCAAGAUACACAGCUUUACUAAUAUCAGUAAAACCCAGUGCACUUUGGGGAGGGUAACAACUCUGAAGUGUAUAGCUUGUGGCUCCAGACCUCAGUUCAAUGCUCGCAUAGUUGGUGGAAAUCUGUCAGUUGAGGGCCAGUUUCCCUGGCAGGCCAGCUUACAUUUUAAGGGGGAACAUCUGUGUGGAGGGUCCGUCAUUACAUCUCGAUGGAUACUGACUGCUGCACAUUGUGUGUACGGAUUCGCCUUUCCUUCGUCUUGGACAGUGAAUGUGGGAUUGAUAGAGCAGCCGUUGAAUAAAGCGAAUUCCAUUGCAGUGGAAAAGAUCAUCUAUCACAGCCGCUACAGACCCAAAGGCUUGGACUAUGAUAUUGCUCUGCUUAAACUGGAGCAGCCUCUCGACUUCAAUGGUUUUGUUGAGCCUAUCUGCCUACCAAACUUUGGGGAGCAAUUUGAGGAUGGAAAAAUGUGUUGGAUCUCCGGAUGGGGAGCCACAGAGGAUGGCGGUGACGUGAGUGUGUCUAUGCAUUCAGCACCAGUACCAUUAAUCUCCAUGAAGGCCUGCAGUCAACCAGAUGUUUACCAAGGCUACAUAUCACCAGGCAUGAUUUGCGCAGGGUACUUAGAAGGUGGCACAGACUCCUGCCAGUUUUGUGUUGGUGACAGGGUGACAGCGGUGGUCCUCUGGCUUGCGAGGAUUCCUCGAUUUGGAAAUUAGCAGGGGCCACGAGCUGGGGUCAGGGCUGUGCAGAAAAGAACAAACCUGGCGUUUAUACCCGCAUCACACAAUAUCUUACCUGGAUACGUCUGCAGAUGGAGAGAGAAGAAAUGCUAAAUCCUACAACUACCAGCUAUGAUUAUUCAAACGACUUUGUAUAAUUUGUAAUUUCACACGAAAAACUACGUAACUACGUGAUAUAAUGUAUAUGGGCCAUUUCACCGAAUCGGUGUUUCCUCAGGACAUUACCUAUAAAAAUGCAAGCCAGCUCUUAAAACACAUAUUAUUAUUAUACUAAGUGCCCUGCAUGUUAAUCUAACAUCAAAUUUAAGCUAUUUAUUUUAAAAUAUAUACUACAUAGAACCCUGAAAAACACCAUUUGUUAUCUAUCCCUGCUAUAUUUUACCUUUAAAUAUAAAGCAUAAAAUUCUUCAGAUAUAUUUCUGUUUUUUUAUAUAUGCAUUUCUGUGUGUGUCCAUAUCCCAUCUUUGCAUUUAAUAUUUUUACCAUUAAAAAAGUAAUAUUUCAGAUAAAAUUUAUUUUAUUUAUAUUCCAGGAAUUUUACUCAGUCCAACAUGUUCCCCCUAUAAAAAUCUAGAAAUAUUUUUCAAGUCACAUUUUUAAAGAGGUAAUUGCAUCAUCUGGAUCUUCUGAAGGCCACGUGAAGAUCAAGUGUUAUUUUUUUCGUUUUCAUUUCUGUAUAUUUUAUUAUAUUGAUGAUAUGACUGUGAAUGUCAAUCUUAAUGUUCUGUCCUGCUACCUAUAUUAUUUCAGUGAUGUUAUGUUUAUUUAAAUAUACACAUUUUUGGUAAAUCACUAGAAUUUGCUCAGUGUCUUUGUUCUAUUGGGACUUAGGACAAUGCCAGUAUA